CCUGUUCCCAUUCCGAACACAGAA
This 24-nucleotide ribosomal RNA is filed under the name Clostridioides difficile. The record is from RNAcentral. Lineage: Bacteria; Bacillati; Bacillota; Clostridia; Peptostreptococcales; Peptostreptococcaceae. RNAcentral also lists the same sequence under 1 other name.